ACUUUGAUGUCAUCGGCUAGACAUUUGAUUUUCGUUCCAAGUUAUAUGUACUAAGGCGUUGUAUCGACGUCCUUUGUCUAUUUGAGACCUCGAUGUACUCACACUAGCAAUAAUGAAUGCCUUGAGAAUUUUUUCGAAGUGAAACUAUUCUCCUCUUAUGGUUCAUAUUGAUUUACAAUCAAGAUGUACACUUACAUCGUCCUUAGAAACAUGGCAUAUUGUGCCGAUUUUGGUCCCUUCCUUUGAAGGUGACUCUUGGCACUGCAUCCUCAAGGAGGAUCGCCCAAGUGUUUCCGGUUAAGUCUUCUACCCUAUAGCGGAUUUUUCAUCAUCAAUUGUUCAACUAGGCUCAUCCAAGCUCAGUGUGAUGUCUUAGAAUUGUCCGAAAUUAAGGAGAUAGUGGUUUUAAGUGUGCCUCGCACUACCGACCCUCCACGGACAUGCCUGGUCAUACUGACUUGGAGUUACCGAAAGCUUUUGAUUUUGGAUCCCCCUACGCUAUUAAACCAAUUGCCGUCUUGCAAAAGAUGUUAAAGACUUAUCAAAGCUGGAAAAUUAUCAUCAUGAUCGGAUCCUCUAGGUCCUCUGAGUUAGUUUAUGUUCAUGUCAAGGAGCUUUUGCUAACUAGUCAUGGAGUUUACGACCUUAGAACGACCGAAAGGACUUGGUUUUGAUCAUACACACGUCACUUUUGGCUAAGGCAAAAGCCUACACGCCACCUGCAAGCUUCACAGCUUCGCACAUGCCAAAUCUGCGAAAAACAGCAAUCUGUCCUUUCUGGACAGUCAACUUCGUUUGAGCUUUUUGAACAGCUCCGGACGAACCAGACAGUCAGCUUUAUAUCAUUCGAAAGCUCUACGAGUCUAGUUUUCAGAACUUUUCACGGUUCGUCCAUAUCUAUUUUAACGAAGAAGUUAUGGCUGUUUUAGUGCGCAAAGGUCAUUCUGCGCGGAAAUUUUUAUGCACUCUCGGGAUUGCAGCUUUUCGUAGCUUCUUUCAAUCCUUCUAAAUGGUUCAAGUAGAACUAUUUACUCGCCUAUCUACUCCUUGUAAUUAUGUCUCAUAGAGACAUUGAGUGCUUCGCAGAUAGUGGAACUAUCCACAACAUUCUAAGGAACCAUGUUAA
Molecule: long non-coding RNA, 1126 nt
Filed under: Fragaria vesca (wild strawberry)
Lineage: Eukaryota; Viridiplantae; Streptophyta; Magnoliopsida; Rosales; Rosaceae
Description: long non-coding RNA (FVES_LNC004895)
Source: RNAcentral